This 117-nucleotide small RNA is filed under the name Pongo abelii (Sumatran orangutan). Its description in RNAcentral is "Metazoan signal recognition particle RNA (ENSPPYG00000039834.1)". Lineage: Eukaryota; Metazoa; Chordata; Mammalia; Primates; Hominidae. The record is from Rfam by way of RNAcentral.
GCCGGGCGUGGUGGCUCACACCUGUAAUCCCCGCUACUCAGGAGGCUGAGGCAGGCGGAUCUCCUGUGGUCAGGAGUUCGAGGCCAGCCUGGCCAACAUGGUGAAACCCUGUCUCUA